CGCACAUAAGACAUGCAAGGUCGAACGGAAGUCGUUGUAAUGAUGUGGACAUGAACGGAGAACUUGUCAAAGAGAGUGAAAAUUGACUUACAACAAUGGCUUUAGUGGCGGACUGGUGAGUAAUGUAUAAGUAACCUGCCUAUCAGAGGGGAACAACAGUUGGAAACGACUGCUAAUACCGCAUAUGCCAUAAGGGAGACAUCUCCCAAGUGGGAAAGGAGCAAUCCGCUGAUAGAUGGACUUAUAUCUGAUUAGCUAGUUGGUAUGGUAACGGCAUACCAAGGCGACGAUCAGUAGCCGGACUGAGAGGUUAAACGGCCACAUUGGGACUGAGAUACGGCCCAGACUCCUACGGGAGGCAGCAGUCGGGAAUAUUGCGCAAUGGAGGAAACUCUGACGCAGUGACGCCGCGUGCAGGAAGAAGGUUUUCGGAUUGUAAACUGCUUUAGACAGGGAAGAAAAAGGACAGUACCUGUAGAAUAAGCUCCGGCUAACUACGUGCCAGCAGCGGC
Molecule: ribosomal RNA, 512 nt
Filed under: uncultured bacterium
Lineage: Bacteria
Description: bacterial SSU rRNA
Rfam family: Bacterial small subunit ribosomal RNA
Source: RNAcentral